RNAcentral lists this long non-coding RNA (409 nucleotides) under Rattus norvegicus (Norway rat). RNAcentral's name for it is "long non-coding RNA NONRATT018253". Lineage: Eukaryota; Metazoa; Chordata; Mammalia; Rodentia; Muridae. The record is from RNAcentral.
UCCCUCAAAGACGGUAGCUCAGUAUUCAGGGAUAGCGUGGUGGAUCAUCCUCCUGGCUGUGCUUGCCGGGAUUUUGAUGCUGGCUCUAUUAGUGUUUUUACUGUGGAAGUGUGGUUUCUUCAAGAGAAAUAAGAAAGAUCAUUACGAUGCCACCUACCACAAGGCUGAGAUCCACACUCAGCCGUCUGAUAAAGAGAGGCUUACUUCCGAUGCAUAGUAUUGAUCUACUUCCCUAAUUGUGUGGAUUCUUUAAGCGCUCUAGGUACGAUGACAGUGUUCCCCGAUACCAUGCGGUGCGGAUUCGGAAAGAAGAGCGAGAGAUCAACGACGAGAAACACACUGAUAACCCCGAAAAAAAGUGGCCCCCGAAGUGGAAUGAAAACGAAAGUUACUCAUAGAGGAGGGUGUA